Long non-coding RNA from Ailuropoda melanoleuca (giant panda), 854 nucleotides. RefSeq lists it as uncharacterized. The record is from RefSeq and is a predicted model, not a curated record. NCBI's taxonomy places the organism in Eukaryota, Metazoa, Chordata, Mammalia, Carnivora, Ursidae. The transcript is spliced from 3 exons.
UGUACCUUGUGGACCUUACAACAAAGCAGGUAUGGGCAGGAUUUGGCUAGCCGGCCAUAAUUUGCAGACCCCGGCUCUAGAUCUAACACUUUUGUGUGAUUGUCUCCCAUGCAUAGCAAAGAGCUGCAGCCAUGUGGGCUGCAAAGAGGAAUUUAACCUGAAGUACAUCAGCAUCAGUUUCCCAGCAUUUACAGCUAUGAAAAUGAUCUCGUAGAAGGCAUUCUAGUCCUCCUGGCCUCCUUUUCUCCUCUCCCCUUUCCCUAGUCUCAUUUAUUUUUACUGUUUAGAUUAUAGACACAUCCCUGUGAAUGAAGCUGUAUUUCAGUGAGUACUUCAUUGUUGAAAAUUUCAUUACCAGAGAUAGAAAUAAUACAGGAGGUCCUGGUGUAAAAACUUGGGUUCUCUUUGUUCCAGGAGAGCUGGAUGGGGGCACCUGGGCUCCAGCAUCUUCUGAGGGGUUGCUUCAUGGAUAUCAGGCCCUGUCUCCACUCAUAGGUGACCAGAGCAGGGCUGUGAGUUUGCAACUCUUGCCAUGAGGGUUUCAGAAAGCUGGAAGAUGAUUCUAACAGGGGUUGAGAGGUACCCGGGGGUCAACUGUGCUCUGGAAGCCGAUGAUUGUCCUUCAAACAUAUUGUCAGAAGAUCACUAUUGCCUAACGCUACGUCACAACGCUGUGUCAUUCACCUCACUUCAUCUCAUCACCUAGGCAUUUUAUCAUCUCACGUCAUUAGAAGACGAAGAAGGGUGAGUAGUACAGUGCUCCUUUCACGAUACAAAAAUGUGCUUUCAUGUCAUUCGUUUCAGUUAGAAGGUCCAGGGAUGGAUUUGGAAGACCAAAAUGAUAAGAUAUUUUG